Molecule: ribosomal RNA, 435 nt
Filed under: Megasphaera micronuciformis
Lineage: Bacteria; Bacillati; Bacillota; Negativicutes; Veillonellales; Veillonellaceae
Description: partial 23S ribosomal RNA
Rfam family: Bacterial large subunit ribosomal RNA
Source: RNAcentral
CCCAAGAGUCCAUAUCGACGGGGAGGUUUGGCACCUCGAUGUCGGCUCAUCACAUCCUGGGGCUGUAGUAGGUCCCAAGGGUUGGGCUGUUCGCCCAUUAAAGUGGUACGCGAGCUGGGUUCAGAACGUCGUGAGACAGUUCGGUCCCUAUCCAUCGCGGGCGCAAGAAACUUGAAAGGGGCUGCUCCUAGUACGAGAGGACCGGAGUGGACGAACCAAUGGUGUAUCGGUUAUGCCGCCAGGCGUACAGCCGAGUAGCUACGUUCGGGACGGAUAAACGCUGAAAGCAUCUAAGCGUGAAACCAGCCUAAAGAUGAGGUUUCUCAUUGCAUAAGCAAGUAAGGCCCCAUGAAGACGACAUGGUUGAUAGGCCGGGAGUGGAAGUGCAGCAAUGCAUGGAGCGGACCGGUACUAAUAGGCCGAGGACUUAUCUUA